AUACGUAGGUGGCAAGCGUUGUCCGGAUUUAUUGGGCGUAAAGCGAGCGCAGGCGGUCAAUUAAGUCUGAUGUGAAAGCCCCCGGCUCAACCGGGGAGGGUCAUUGGAAACUGGUUGACUUGAGUGCAGAAGAGGAGAGUGGAAUUCCAUGUGUAGCGGUGAAAUGCGUAGAUAUAUGGAGGAACACCAGUGGCGAAGGCGACUCUCUGGUCUGUAACUGACGCUGAGGCUCGAAAGCGUGGGUAGCAAACAGGAUUAGAUACCCUGGUAGUCCACGCCGUAAACGAUGAGUGCUAAGUGUUGGAGGGUUUCCGCCCUUCAGUGCUGCAGUUAACGCAUUAAGCACUCCGCCUGGGGAGUACGACCGCAAGGUUGAAACUCAAAGGAAUUGACGGGGACCCGCACAAGCGGUGGAUGAUGUGGAUUAAUUCGAUGCAACGCGAAGAACCUUACCUGGUCUUGACAU
Molecule: ribosomal RNA, 466 nt
Filed under: uncultured bacterium
Lineage: Bacteria
Description: bacterial SSU rRNA
Rfam family: Bacterial small subunit ribosomal RNA
Source: RNAcentral